RNAcentral lists this ribosomal RNA (285 nucleotides) under uncultured Streptococcus sp. RNAcentral's name for it is "partial 16S ribosomal RNA". It matches the Rfam family "Bacterial small subunit ribosomal RNA", at positions 1096 to 1382 of the family's 1533-position model. Lineage: Bacteria; Bacillati; Bacillota; Bacilli; Lactobacillales; Streptococcaceae. The record is from RNAcentral.
GCGCAACCCCUAUUGUUAGUUGCCAUCAUUCAGUUGGGCACUCUAGCGAGACUGCCGGUAAUAAACCGGAGGAAGGUGGGGAUGACGUCAAAUCAUCAUGCCCCUUAUGACCUGGGCUACACACGUGCUACAAUGGUUGGUACAACGAGUUGCGAGUCGGUGACGGCGAGCUAAUCUCUUAAAGCCAAUCUCGGUUCGGAUUGUAGGCUGCAACUCGCCUACAUGAAGUCGGAAUCGCUAGUAAUCGCGGAUCAGCACGCCGCGGUGAAUACGUUCCCGGGCCUU